CUCUCACUCAGGUCUCGUAAUGCCAGUGACCAGUGAAGUGAAUGAGGAAGAACAAUGGUUCACCAUAGAGCUUAAUUCACCAUUGCAGUUUUUGUUAAUGAUAUCAGAGGCGUACAAGGAAGGUCUAAUUUCAAAAAGUGAACUUACAUUCUUUUUUACUUCUUUUUUAACUAAAAAUAAUGAGUAAACGAGUUUAUGUAACGUAUGUAGCAGAAGCACAGGAAAGGAAAACAUUGAUGAAAUUUGAGCGGGGAGAUUUGGGCAAUUUCAGCAGCAUAACCCAAAAAAUUAAAUCAAAAUUUUCUCUCCCAAGUGACGGGAAAUAUUCCUUUGAAGGAAUCUUUGAAAAAAAUGGGCCAUAUGUUGAAAUAGAUGACAUGGACGAAGACAUAUUAGAAGAUAUCAUUGAUCUGAAAUUUUCUGAAAAGUGCAAUACAUCAAAACACACUUUGGGGGAAUGUCUACCCAGUAGUCAAACAAUCAAUACCCUUGAGAGAUCUGCGUCUUCUGAUUCAGCAAACUCAAUUGCCUCCACCAUUGACUAUAUGAACAACUCGCCUUGAGAGAUCUGCGUCUUCUGAUUCAGCAAACUCAUUUGCCUCCACCAUUGACUAUAUGAACAACUCGCCUUGAGAGAUCUGCGUCUUCUGAUUCAGCAAACUCAUUUGCCUCCACCAUUGACUAUAUGAACAACUCGCCUUGAGAGAUCUGCGUCUUCUGAUUCAGCAAACUCAUUUGCCUCCACCAUUGACUAUAUGAACAACUCGCCUUGAGAGAUCUGCGUCUUCUGAUUCAGCAAACUCAUUUGCCUCCACCAUUGACUAUAUGAACAACUCGCCUUGAGAGAUCUGCGUCUUCUGAUUCAGCAAACUCAUUUGCCUCCACCAUUGACUAUAUGAACAACUCGCCUUGAGAGAUCUGCGUCUUCUGAUUCAGCAAACUCAUUUGCCUCCACCAUUGACUAUAUGAACAACUCGCCUUGAGAGAUCUGCGUCUUCUGAUUCAGCAAACUCAUUUGCCUCCACCAUUGACUAUAUGAACAACUCGCCUUGAGAGAUCUGCGUCUUCUGAUUCAGCAAACUCAUUUGCCUCCACCAUUGACUAUAUGAACAACUCGCCUUGAGAGAUCUGCGUCUUCUGAUUCAGCAAACUCAUUUGCCUCCACCAUUGACUAUAUGAACAACUCGCCUUGAGAGAUCUGCGUCUUCUGAUUCAGCAAACUCAUUUGCCUCCACCAUUGACUAUAUGAACAACUCGCCUUGAGAGAUCUGCGUCUUCUGAUUCAGCAAACUCAUUUGCCUCCACCAUUGACUAUAUGAACAACUCGCCUUGAGAGAUCUGCGUCUUCUGAUUCAGCAAACUCAUUUGCCUCCACCAUUGACUAUAUGAACAACUCGCCUUGAGAGAUCUGCGUCUUCUGAUUCAGCAAACUCAUUUGCCUCCACCAUUGACUAUAUGAACAACUCGCCUUGAGAGAUCUGCGUCUUCUGAUUCAGCAAACUCAUUUGCCUCCACCAUUGACUAUAUGAACAACUCGCCUUGAGAGAUCUGCGUCUUCUGAUUCAGCAAACUCAUUUGCCUCCACCAUUGACUAUAUGAACAACUCGCCUUGAGAGAUCUGCGUCUUCUGAUUCAGCAAACUCAUUUGCCUCCACCAUUGACUAUAUGAACAACUCGCCUUGAGAGAUCUGCGUCUUCUGAUUCAGCAAACUCAUUUGCCUCCACCAUUGACUAUAUGAACAACUCGCCUUGAGAGAUCUGCGUCUUCUGAUUCAGCAAACUCAUUUGCCUCCACCAUUGACUAUAUGAACAACUCGCCUUGAGAGAUCUGCGUCUUCUGAUUCAGCAAACUCAUUUGCCUCCACCAUUGACUAUAUGAACAACUCGCCUUGAGAGAUCUGCGUCUUCUGAUUCAGCAAACUCAUUUGCCUCCACCAUUGACUAUAUGAACAACUCGCCUUGAGAGAUCUGCGUCUUCUGAUUCAGCAAACUCAUUUGCCUCCACCAUUGACUAUAUGAACAACUCGCCUUGAGAGAUCUGCGUCUUCUGAUUCAGCAAACUCAUUUGCCUCCACCAUUGACUAUAUGAACAACUCGCCUUGAGAGAUCUGCGUCUUCUGAUUCAGCAAACUCAUUUGCCUCCACCAUUGACUAUAUGAACAACUCGCCUUGAGAGAUCUGCGUCUUCUGAUUCAGCAAACUCAUUUGCCUCCACCAUUGACUAUAUGAACAACUCGCCUUGAGAGAUCUGCGUCUUCUGAUUCAGCAAACUCAUUUGCCUCCACCAUUGACUAUAUGAACAACUCGCCUUGAGAGAUCUGCGUCUUCUGAUUCAGCAAACUCAUUUGCCUCCACCAUUGACUAUAUGAACAACUCGCAAAUCUCAUCAAGGAGUGUCAGCCCAUGCAGAUCUUCAACCAGUAUUUCAUCAGAUGUGUCUGAGCUGUCACCAUCAACUAGCAAACCAACAGAAUCGGCCAAGGUGGUGUUUGAUGCUAAAAAGAUCUUGGAUGGACACCCAAAGGGACACGCAAUUUUGGAAGAAUACAACAAAAAUGGGUACAUCUCUCCAGGGUC
Molecule: long non-coding RNA, 2577 nt
Organism: Asterias rubens (European starfish)
Lineage: Eukaryota; Metazoa; Echinodermata; Asteroidea; Forcipulatida; Asteriidae
Exons: 3
Source: RefSeq, a predicted model, not a curated record